Molecule: long non-coding RNA, 2336 nt
Organism: Eucalyptus grandis
Lineage: Eukaryota; Viridiplantae; Streptophyta; Magnoliopsida; Myrtales; Myrtaceae
Exons: 2
Source: RefSeq, a predicted model, not a curated record
GACAAGUGGUGAUCUGGUGCGAGCUGACGAUUGUCUGAAAUUGGAUAAGCUCUGUCUCUCUAGGCAGUAUUGGUUUGAACGAAAUUUGUUCUCCACUCCCAUAAUUUUCCGAUUAAUGCGAAACCCGAUUCUCAUUCCUUCGGAGGUCUGUUUUGUCGAUGUAUGAUCUGUCAUGGUUCUUUCUUUGCAAGGUGUAAGCACCACAACAGAUCACUAUCCAAUCCAGAUCCGCUUGCUAAUGUCUCCUUCCUAGAAAUGAUCCCUACCUUCUGUUCUCAUCCUUCAAUCUCAUCGGGAGACGUCAUUAUGGGAAGUGUUUGGUUUAGCUCCUCCUCUGAUCCUUUAUCAAACCCACUUUCGGUACAAUUGUUUCACAAGCUGCUUCUGGAUUUUUGUUAUUUGGUGAAUCUGCAGUGGCUUCUUUUCCCCAUGGAGCGAAACUGUUUGUCUUGGGAUGUCAAGGAUGAUGAAUACGACGACACCGGUCAGCUUGUUUCAUAAAACACGGAUGUUUGGGCUUUUUGGAGGACUGAUGAUCCUUUUGCUGCUGUCUUUUUCUCUUGGUUGAGAUGAUGAACUAGUAGUCUUUCAGGCGAUAGGCUGAAAUUUGCUGGUCUUGAUUGGAAUUUUGUUCUUCAGUUUUUUUAUCUUUUGGGGUUGAUUAUUCUGUAGUCCUGAUCCUCUCACAGGUUGGAGUUUUUCUAGACUCAACUAAGUGGUGAUCUGGUGCGAGCUGAUGAUUGUCUGAAAUUGGAUAAGCUCUAUCGUCUCUCAAGGCGGUUAUCGGUUUGAAUGAAAUUUGUUCUUCAGUCCCAUAAUUUUGCGAUUAAUGCGAAACCCGAUUCUCAUUCCUUCGGAGGUCUAUGUUUGGUCGAUGUAUGAUCUGUGAUGGUUCUUUAUUUGCAAGGUGUACGCACCACAACAGAUCAGUAUCCAAUAAGGAUCCACUUGCUGGUGUGUCUCCUGCUAGAAGUAGUCCCUCCCUCGUGUUCUCAUCCUUCAAUCUCAUUGGGAGAUGUCGUUAUAGGAAGUGUUUGGUCUAGCUCCUCCUCUGAUCCUUUAUCAAACUCACUUUCUGUACAAUUGUUUCACGAGCUGCUUCUGGAUUUUUGUUAUUUGGUGAAUCUGCAGUGGCUUCUUUUCUUCAUGGAGUGGAAGCGUUUGUCUGAGGAUGUCAAGGAUGACGACACCGGUCAGCUUGUUUCAUAAAACACGGAUGUUUGGGCUUUUUGGAGGACUGAUAAUCCUUUUGCUGCUUCUUUUUUCUUGGUUGAGAUGAUGAACUAGUAGUCUUUUAGGGGAUGGGCUGACAAUUUGCUGGUCUUUAUUGGAAUUUGUUCUUUGGUUUUUUUUCUCUUUGCAAGUUGAUUAUCAUCUAGUCCUGAUCCUCUCACAGGUCGGAGUUUUGCUAGACUCGACUAAGUGGUGAUCUGGUGCGAGCUGAUGAUUGUCUGAAGUUGGAUAAGCUCUAUCACCUCUGGAGGCGGUUAUCGGUUUGAUUGAAAUUUGUUCUCCAGUCCCAUAAUUUUCCAAUUAAUGCAAAACCCGAUUCUCAUUCCUUCGGAGUUUGGUGUUUUAUUGAUGUAUGACCUGUGAUGGUUCUUUGCAAGGUGUAUGCAUCACAACAGAUUACUAUCUAAUACGGAUCCGCUUGCUGGUGUUUCCUUCCCAGAAAUAGUCCCUUCCUCAUGUUCUCUUCGUGCAUCUAUGAUUGUGCAUGCAUUCCUCAAUCGGCUGACACCCUUACUCUUCAAAGGAGACAUCGUUCCUGAAAACGUACUCCUGGCCUGUCUUCUUUUCUUUUUAUUUCUUGAUUGAUUUUAAAAUCAGUCUGAUUCUGUUUACGCUAUGUUAUUUUCUGAAGGAACGCCUGGCCUCUCUUGGACUCUGCCAUGUUGUGGGCAGUGUUAAGUGGUUUCUUUCUUCUCGGAGUGAUCAUUUUCUCUGAGGAUGAUGUCUGAGAGGACAAUGAAUAUGAUCCAGCUGGUCAGUUGGUUACAUAGAAUAUGACAUUUGGGCUUUUUGGUGGACUAAUGAUCUAUCUUGCACUGUUUGUGGUUGAGUUGAUCAUCUAAAGAAGCCUUUUCUCUUCAGGACAAACGAUGGACUGAAAUUUUGACAACCUUCUAGGCUUCUUUUCCAAAUCCAAAGUUUUACUGGUUUUGACAGCUGGUGAUCUGUUGCGUUUUCUGUGGGGCUGAGUUGAUAAUUGUUCAAAAUUGUAUGAGCUCCUGCUUCCCGGAUUUUAGGCAGUUAUUGGUUUGAAUGGAACUUGUCCUUUACUUCUGUUAUUUCUUUGUUAAUCCGAAAGAUCAGAUCUAGUUCUCUUCCCUUUG